CCUACGGGAGACAGCAGUGAGGAAUAUUGGUCAAUGGACGAGAGUCUGAACCAGCCAAGUAGCGUGAAGGAUGACUGCCCUAUGGGUUGUAAACUUCUUUUAUAUGGGAAUAAAAUGUUCCACGUGUGGGAUUUUGUAUGUACCAUAUGAAUAAGGAUCGGCUAACUCCGUGCCAGCAGCCGCGGUAAUACGGAGGAUCCGGGCGUUAUCCGGAUUUAUUGGGUUUAAAGGGAGCGUAGGUGGAUUGUUAAGUCAGUUGUGAAAGUUUGCGGCUCAACCGUAAAAUUGCAGUUGAAACUGGCAGUCUUGAGUACAGUAGAGGUGGGCGGAAUUCGUGGUGUAGCGGUGAAAUGCUUAGAUAUCACGAAGAACUCCGAUUGCGAAGGCAGUUCACUGGACUGCAACUGACACUGAGGCUCGAAAGUGUGGGUAUCAAACAGGAUUAGAUACCCUAGUAGUC
Molecule: ribosomal RNA, 460 nt
Filed under: uncultured bacterium
Lineage: Bacteria
Description: partial 16S ribosomal RNA
Rfam family: Bacterial small subunit ribosomal RNA
Source: RNAcentral